GCGCCUGUGGCGGAAUUGGCAGACGCGCUGGACUUAGGAUCCAGUGAAGCAAUUCGUGCAGGUUCGAUUCCUGUCAGGCGCA
RNAcentral lists this transfer RNA (82 nucleotides) under Bacteroidaceae bacterium. RNAcentral describes it as "tRNA-Leu". It matches the Rfam family "tRNA". From Rfam's summary of the family: Transfer RNA (tRNA) molecules are approximately 80 nucleotides in length. Their secondary structure includes four short double-helical elements and three loops (D, anti-codon, and T loops). Further hydrogen bonds mediate the characteristic L-shaped molecular structure. tRNAs have two regions of fundamental functional importance: the anti-codon, which is responsible for specific mRNA codon recognition, and the 3' end, to which the tRNAs corresponding amino acid is attached (by aminoacyl-tRNA synthetases). tRNAs cope with the degeneracy of the genetic code in two manners: having more than one tRNA (with a specific anti-codon) for a particular amino acid; and 'wobble' base-pairing, i.e. permitting non-standard base-pairing at the 3rd anti-codon position. The record is from RNAcentral. Lineage: Bacteria; Pseudomonadati; Bacteroidota; Bacteroidia; Bacteroidales; Bacteroidaceae.